Molecule: long non-coding RNA, 787 nt
Organism: Oncorhynchus tshawytscha (Chinook salmon)
Lineage: Eukaryota; Metazoa; Chordata; Actinopteri; Salmoniformes; Salmonidae
Exons: 4
Source: RefSeq, a predicted model, not a curated record
AACCCCGGCCCACCAGGGAGACGGAGCACUUCUUACAGUUGAAACAGUCGUUGUGCCACUGGCGCUCUUCAAACGAGAUGUACUUACUGCCACCCAGACCUGAGAGAACGGGGAGAGAUGAACACAUGCUGUUAUCAAAAGAUCAGUGAUUGGGGAAGGAGGAAAGGUGGAGAACUUUAGUAAGGAUUCAAACAGGGCCACAGUGUACAGCGUGAUGGGGCCCAUCCCUGGGUUACACCAGAGCCCAGCUGAUCCCCUGGAAGGGGAACCUUUUCAACCUUUGAACCGGCCAGACCUCCAGCACACUGACAUGGAUCCCUUGAUAGAAAUUGCUUUGAUGGACCGGCCGUGACACAAGGUCACAAGGAGGAGGGACACAAAUGAGCAAUCAGAGGGUUGACCACAACAGAGAGGACAUCCAUACUGAAAUGGGUAUACCCAAGAGGAUACUCGUAUAUCAUAUACACACAUCUCCUCUCCAGGGUUGACCACAACAGAGAGGACAUCCAUACUGAAAUGGGUAUACCCAAGAGGACACUCGUAUAUCAUAUACACACAUCUCCUCCCACCAGCCUCCUCUGGUGUCAAUGCAUACUGAGCAUGUUAUCCACCUCUCGCUUCAUGCCAUAGCGGUUGUUCUCUCUGUACAAAUGUGUCUCUUAAAAACACUGGGAUUAAAUGAAAUCUACAUCAGGCUAGGUAUAUUAGAUUUGAUAUUAUACUGAACAAAAAUAUAAACGCAACAUAUAAAGUGUUUGUACCAUGUUUCGAGAGCUAAAAUAAAAUA